Molecule: ribosomal RNA, 30 nt
Filed under: Trichomonas tenax
Lineage: Eukaryota; Parabasalia; Trichomonadida; Trichomonadidae
Also listed under: 2 other names
Description: partial 28S ribosomal RNA
Source: RNAcentral
UACGUUGUCUGCUAUACGCAGGAAGACCCG